Molecule: ribosomal RNA, 274 nt
Filed under: uncultured bacterium
Lineage: Bacteria
Description: partial 16S ribosomal RNA
Rfam family: Bacterial small subunit ribosomal RNA
Source: RNAcentral
AUACAGAGGGUGCGAGCGUUAAUCGGAAUUACUGGGCGUAAAGCGCGCGUAGGCGGCUUAUUAAGUCAGAUGUGAAAUCCCCGGGCUCAACCUGGGAACUGCAUCUGAUACUGGUAAGCUAGAGUUUUGGAGAGGGAAGUAGAACUUCAGGUGUAGCGGUGAAAUGCAUAGAGAUCUGAAGGAAUACCAGUGGCGAAGGCGACUUCCUGGCCAAAAACUGACGCUGAGGUGCGAAAGCGUGGGUAGCAAACGGGAUUAGAAACCCUAGUAGUCC